Molecule: ribosomal RNA, 497 nt
Filed under: uncultured bacterium
Lineage: Bacteria
Description: partial 16S ribosomal RNA
Rfam family: Bacterial small subunit ribosomal RNA
Source: RNAcentral
GAUGAACGCUGGCGGCGUGCCUAAUACAUGCAAGUCGAGCGAACGGACGAGAAGCUUGCUUUUCUGAUGUUAGCGGCGGACGGGUGAGUAACACGUGGAUAACCUACCUAUAAGACUGGGAUAACUUCGGGAAACCGGAGCUAAUACCGGAUAAUAUUUUGAACCGCAUGGUUCAAAAGUGAAAGACGGUCUUGCUGUCACUUAUAGAUGGAUCCGCGCUGCAUUAGCUAGUUGGUAAGGUAACGGCUUACCAAGGCAACGAUGCAUAGCCGACCUGAGAGGGUGAUCGGCCACACUGGAACUGAGACACGGUCCAGACUCCUACGGGAGGCAGCAGUAGGGAAUCUUCCGCAAUGGGCGAAAGCCUGACGGAGCAACGCCGCGUGAGUGAUGAAGGUCUUCGGAUCGUAAAACUCUGUUAUUAGGGAAGAACAUACGUGUAAGUAACUGUGCACAUCUUGACGGUACCUAAUCAGAAAGCCACGGCUAACUACGUG